GGUCUCUUUCUUUCCCCUCUUUCUCUUAUUCGUCCGUGCCUCUCACUGCUCUCAGUCUCUCUCAGAGCACAAUGGUGGUGUCAAUCACAAAGCACGGCGGUACACAAAGGUGGCGGUGGGUGGCGAGGUGCGGAAGGGGGGUGGCCCCUAGGCCAGCAACCCUCGCUAUUACAUCUAGGUCUACAACCAACCCAACCCGAAUAAACUCAGUUAAGGUGCCAAACCAACUCAGCCUAACCUGUAGAAAAUCAAAUCGGGUUGAACCCGUACGACCCGACCUUUAAAAACAAAAUCGUUUACUCUUCCUUUCCUUGCUUCUAGAAUCGACUUAUUCAUAGAAAUUACAUAAUCACAAACCAAGGGAGAGGAAGAGAGAGAACCUUCUCAUACAUGUAAAACUCUCAUCUGGGUAUUGCCAAGAUCCAAGUGGGUCAGGUCUCGUUUUGGCCAAAUGGGUAUCGAAUUUAGGUUUGUUUUGAUCAAUGGGCGAGUACAAAAGAGUAGUUUCGUGAACAACGUAGUGUUGGAUUUUGAACAACGAAGUUCCAUGUCCGUUGGAGUGAGCAAGGUAUACUGUUGAACUUCAAAUCUUGUGAAGUGGUUUACAAAGUGUCAGUACUACA
Carya illinoinensis is the source of this 623-nucleotide long non-coding RNA. RefSeq lists it as uncharacterized. The transcript is spliced from 2 exons. The record is from RefSeq and is a predicted model, not a curated record. NCBI's taxonomy places the organism in Eukaryota, Viridiplantae, Streptophyta, Magnoliopsida, Fagales, Juglandaceae.